GGGGUUGUAGUCUAGCAUGGUAUGAUUCUGGUUUUGGGUACCAGGGGUCGCAGGUUCAAGUCCUGCCAACCCCA
This 74-nucleotide transfer RNA is filed under the name Cenarchaeum symbiont of Oopsacas minuta. RNAcentral's name for it is "tRNA-Pro". It matches the Rfam family "tRNA". From Rfam's summary of the family: Transfer RNA (tRNA) molecules are approximately 80 nucleotides in length. Lineage: Archaea; Thermoproteati; Nitrososphaerota; Candidatus Cenarchaeales; Candidatus Cenarchaeaceae. The record is from RNAcentral.